GGAAGUAAGCCUUGACCAAUACAUUUCGACGUUAGGGUUUUUGUUGUUAUUUAGAUAUUUAUUAAUACCCUGCAACUUAGCAUAUGACAAAUUUUAACUGCAAAGCAUAACAUGCUUACCCCAGGUAGUCGUUAAUUCGCGUUGGAGACAGGGCUUGGUUGAUAGAUGAGAUCUAACUAGGUGGUAACGUUAACUAACAAUGGCCAAUUGUGUGGUUUUUCACACUCAAAUAGCCUCCAUUAUGGAGGUGCUAGCGAAUGCAGCCGUGGCAGAGAUAUGUACACUCGUAGACGACGACUAUGCAGUGUUUCGUCUGGAAAUAACUCAAAGACAAAAAGAAAACAGGGCAUUGCGGAGGAAACUACAGCUACUGGAACUGAAGGUGUCACGGGAGCGCGUCCUCACCAUUCGUCCCAGUAGUGUCAAGAUCUUCGACCGAUACAGAGGAAUGGCAAGAGGUACAGUUUUUAACCACAUUGGGUUAAACACUUCGUCAGUUUUUGGAUUGUAUGAAAUAGUUCCCCUGAUUACUUAGCUAUCUUGCACAAAUACAUCAUCAUAUUCUUGAUGUACUACAUGUCCUAUGACUAACUCAUUGAAAACAAUGAUGCAAAUCAACUCAUGUCACAUGCACCGAAUACAACAGGCUGUAGACUUUACAGUGAACAUCCAGUGACAUCUCACUGGAAGCCACAGGAGCUUUGUGAAGCCAACAGGACACAAUAGAUGGAGAGAACCAACCAAUCACUCUUGAUGAGGGGAACGGAACCUCAACCCAGCAUGUUAUCAUGAUAGAGUCUGCAGAUGCAGAGGCUGCAGGUCCUGGGGUCAAGCAGGAGAGGACUAAAGGAGAGAAGGAACCACAGCACAUGGGAGACAUCCAGACUGGAGUGCCCCCUGAAGCCAUGGAGGAUCCCACCUCCACCCCAGCACCAUCCAUAACCCGACCCAGCAUCACGGAGGUCAGUGGAACGCCGUCCUCAAGUCAGAGACAGACACGGAGACGUUAACUGCAACACACAGGUUCUUACACACAGGAUCUGACCACAGCUCAGACCCAGAGAGAUUUGGGCUGGGGCCAUUGGGCUGUCCUUCUCCCUGUUCAGAGUACUUGCCAGUAUUUCACCAGAGCAAGAGGAUGGUUCAUUCCUGUGGAGGCGGUGAUGGUGACACGUUAGACCCUGGUGUUGAUGUUCCGUCUUGUCCUUACGCUACAGAGAUGGACCCUGACAACAUGUCAAUGGGUUUAGACACACAGGCUGAUCUGUCAAGAGGGGGACUGGAACCAUUAUACUAGUAGUGUAUACUCUGAAAGGUCCCUAGAUAAGAAAGGGGAGGUUAUAGUCAUAGAUGAAGUCAAAGUGGAGGGAGACUCUCCUCUGACCUUGAACGCAGACAAGACUCACUUAGGGGAAGGACACUCACAAGGCAGAGAUUUCUUAGAUUACAGGGAAAGCUUAGAGACAAAUCCGAAUGUUGCGGCCCACUCCCCUUUACACACGCUCAGGGAUCGUGACCCAGUGUCCACGUUGAUGGGGCCUUCCGAUUCACAGGGCUGCGUCCUUUUGGAUCAGGUAUUGAACUCAAAGGGCCAAGGGGAGGGGAGGGGGAGCAACAUCAGGCAAUAGUAAAGAGAAACGGUUCCUCUGCAUGUUCUGUAACAAAGGCUUUGGCUGCCUCCAGAAGGUGGAGAUCCACCAAAGGGUCCUCACAGGGGUGAAACCCUUCAGCUGUUCCCAGUGUCACAUGCGUUUUGCUGAGGCUGGCAAUCUGAAGAGGCACCAGAGGGUCCACACAGGGGAGAAACCCUUCAGCUGUACCCAGUGUCAUAUGCGCUUCUCCCACUCGUCCAGCAUGAAGAGGCACCGGAGGGUCCACACAGGGGAGAAAUAUUAAAGCUGCCCUGAGUGUAAGAAAGGUUUUCCCAUCAGAACUACCUAAAGAUGCACCUUCAGGUCCACAUGGGUGAAAGGCUGUUCACCUCCUAAGCAAAGUGGGAAGAGGUUCUCAGAUAGGAGAUACCUCAGGAUACACCAGCAGAAAAAACAUUCCACUAAAUAACUUCUGACAUUUUAGAUCAAACCCUGCAUUAAAGACAAAGAUACAUUUUCAGUAUUGUCCGCAGAAAAGAUCCACAGAUGCAUUUGGAAUGACGAGAGUGAGAUUUCAGUGUUGAAUAUUCUUGGGUAGAAUAUUGCAUCCAGACAUUGUGAUAUAUAAGGCAUAUUUAAGCCUAAAAAGUCUGUUACAUAUUGUGUAGGCUAUAUGAUGUAUAUUACUUCCAUUUAACUACCGUACUUCAUUUUUUCCCCCAAGACAAUUGUAAUGAGAAAAUGAUUGCAGUUUAUAAAGUUUAGGGCUGUCCCCGACAAAAAAGAAAGAAAAGUUAGUUGACCGAGAGUCGUCUGUUCUUUUGACAAUCGAUUGGUAGACAUUUUUUACAUGUAUUUUUUUAUACAUAGUGUUUUAAUAAAAUCAACUGUAUGCACUGA
Molecule: long non-coding RNA, 2492 nt
Organism: Oncorhynchus nerka (sockeye salmon)
Lineage: Eukaryota; Metazoa; Chordata; Actinopteri; Salmoniformes; Salmonidae
Exons: 2
Source: RefSeq, a predicted model, not a curated record